AGGAUUAACGCUGGCGGCGUGCCUAACACAUGCAAGUCGAACGAGGGGGCAACCCCUAGUGGCAGACGGGUGAGUAACACGUGGUCAACCUACCGCUUUGUGGGGGAUAACCAGCCGAAAGGUUGGCUAAUACCGCAUACGUCGCGAUCGGCAUCGAUCGUUGAUGAAAGGAGCAAUCCGCAAGGCGACGGGACCGCGUCCCAUUAGCUAGUUGGUGGGGUAAUGGCCUACCAAGGCUCCGAUGGGUAGCUGGUUUGAGAGAGCGACCAGCCACACUGGGACUGAGAAACGGCCCAGACUCCUACGGGAGGCAGCAGUGAGGAAUUUUCCGCAAUGGGCGAAAGCCUGACGGAGCGACGCCGCGUGUGGGAAGAAGGCCUUCGGGUCGUAAACCACUGUCGAAGGGGAAGAUAUUGACGGUACCCUUGGAGGAAGCCCCGGCUAACUACGCGCCAGCAGCCGC
Molecule: ribosomal RNA, 463 nt
Filed under: uncultured bacterium
Lineage: Bacteria
Description: SSU rRNA
Rfam family: Bacterial small subunit ribosomal RNA
Source: RNAcentral